Long non-coding RNA from Nyctereutes procyonoides (raccoon dog), 570 nucleotides. RefSeq lists it as uncharacterized. NCBI's taxonomy places the organism in Eukaryota, Metazoa, Chordata, Mammalia, Carnivora, Canidae. The record is from RefSeq and is a predicted model, not a curated record. The transcript is spliced from 4 exons.
CGCGGGAGGCGGGUCGGCGCAGGGCGCUGGGGGCUGUCGCUGCCCCGGGGGUCGCGGUCGCCCUGGGGGUGACCCUACGGCUCCCGACGGAAAGGGGCAAGGAGGUAUUUUUUAAAAAGCCUUUUAUUUAUUCAUUUGAGAGAAAGACAGAGACAGCAAGAGCACAAGCAAAGGGAGCAGCUGGCAGAAGGAGAGGGAGAAGCAGACUCCCCACUGAUUUAGGAGCCCGAUUCCAGGAGUAGGACAUCAUGAUCUGAGCUGAAGGCAGAUGCUUAACCAGCUGACCCACCCAGGAUCUCUAUCUUCUAUAGGUUCUCUGGUGUUCCAGCACAAAGCCACCCCACUCAGUGACAUCCAGAAGUUUAUGUUGUGCUCAAUGACAUCCAAAGUACUUUACACUCAAUGGCAUCCAAAGUAUUUUGGUUCCCCAUCAGUACCCCAAAUCAGAUGAAGCCACGACUGGAUCCUCCAAACUUUCCAAGACAAGACACUGGCCUGGAGAGAGGCAAGGAUCUUUACUCGAGAGUCCCUUCCCAGGACUUCCUGGAGAUCCUGGCUUCAGAGGCAACA